This 1356-nucleotide long non-coding RNA is filed under the name Amphibalanus amphitrite. Its description in RNAcentral is "uncharacterized LOC122371023, transcript variant X3". Lineage: Eukaryota; Metazoa; Arthropoda; Thecostraca; Balanomorpha; Balanidae. The record is from RNAcentral.
AUGACUGAAGAGCGAAAACAGUUCUAUAUGAUGGCUCAAUCAAACGUGGAAAUGGACGACAAAAGUAGAGUUUCAACAUUCCAGCAUGUGAGAAUAACUUCAGAACUUCAUAGUUCUUGUAGUACUGCAUUUCUCUCUUGUACAGUUCUAGGUUUUGUUAGGGUAUUUCAGUUGGGCAAACUACGGGGAGGUAAUCACGAACUUGAUUAAUCAAGUUCAUGAUUAUGACGUCAUGAAAAUGGGGCGUGGCAUGACCAUAUAAGGAGUUGUAAUCAAGAUUUUGAUUACUUUUCGUGCACCGAACUAUUCAAGUGUUUCGUUUCGAUUGUUAUAAUGUCCAUAUCGACACGAUUUUUUACCAGGUGAAACGCAAUAUUCUAUUCUCCCGAAAUGAUAUGGACCGGUAGCAGUGGGAUAUGUACUUUAGCUCAUAUGGCGAAAGAUAAACUGCUAGCCUAACUUUUUCAGAAAAGUGAUAUUUCUUAAAGCCCUUUUUAGGCGGAUAUUAUUCUUUUAUCCACAUUUUUACGUUUCUAAUUUAAAAAUAAAUAAUUGAACAUUCAUUUUACACACGUCUUAAAUUGGUCGUAAUAAACAUUUCUUCCAAAAGGCACCGUCGCCUGUUAGCACGCCGCCAUUUGUGUGUUGUCGGUGUGUUGGUGAGGCCGGAAAUUAACGCCGAAUUAUUGGUAAUUUGGUUCUUAUAGCUCAUCAAAGUACCACCUCCUCGCUGUAGCAGUGGGCAUCACCGUCACCUCAGUAUUGCUCAGGAAGCUCGUGAUAAUGGUACCUAUGGUCCUACGUUGAGGAACGCUCAAUCAAAAAAUGAUAUGAUGAACUUCUUUGGAAUUAAGCGGACUAAGUACAGCUACAUUUGUAUUAUGUGCAUCGCUCAUGCAAGACAGCAGGCCAGGAUGCUGCUGAAUUCAUACAGCUGCAGGGGAUGAGCUGGAGAACCUGCAGCGCAUUCUCCAAGAGACGACGGAAGCCAACGGAGGCCCGCAAAACUUUCCAUCCCAUAAUCGUGAAUGGAGAGCUGGGCGGGGAAGACGCGGUAUUCGUCGAGGCCCAGGAGGUGGUAUCGGCGCCACCAGACCAAGCAUUCCUGCUGUGGCAGGCCGCAUUUUGGAUUUUUAACAUCAAAACUCCUAAAAAUAUGGUCAAUCUGAAUUGGUUUCUGAGAACCAAAGUGUUUGGUGGGGUGAAGGCCGAUGUGCCGCCAUCAGCGGCGGCCAUUGCGACCGUGAAGCAAGUAGAGUGAGAUCCCCGUAGAGCAUGCCGCUGCGGGGUGUCGGAAGCGUUUGCCAAUUCUAUGAGCCUUCCACCGGCAGGACUAUAAAUACACAUUUCUUGAAA